UACGUAGGGGGCAAGCGUUGUCCGGAAUCAUUGGGCGUAAAGCGCGCGUAGGCGGCCCGGUAAGUCCGCUGUGAAAGUCAAAGGCUCAACCUUUGAAUGUCAGCGGAUACUGCCGGGCUAGAGUCCGGAAGAGGCGAGUGGAACUCCUGGUGUAGCGGUGGAAUGCGCAGAUAUCAGGAAGAACACCAACGGCGAAGGCAGCUCGCUGGGACGGAACUGACGCUGAGGCGCGAAAGCGUGGGGGAGCGAACAGG
Molecule: ribosomal RNA, 254 nt
Filed under: uncultured bacterium
Lineage: Bacteria
Description: partial 16S ribosomal RNA
Rfam family: Bacterial small subunit ribosomal RNA
Source: RNAcentral